Molecule: ribosomal RNA, 497 nt
Filed under: uncultured bacterium
Lineage: Bacteria
Description: partial 16S ribosomal RNA
Rfam family: Bacterial small subunit ribosomal RNA
Source: RNAcentral
GAUGAACGCUGGCGGCGUGCCUAAUACAUGCAAGUCGAGCGAACAGACGAGGAGCUUGCUCCUCUGACGUUAGCGGCGGACGGGUGAGUAACACGUGGAUAACCUACCUAUAGGACUGGGAUAACUUCGGGAAACCGGAGCUAAUACCGGAUAAUAUAUUGAACCGCAUGGUUCAAUAGUGAAAGACGGUUUUGCUGUCACUUAUAGAUGGAACCGCGCCGCAUUAGCUAGUUGGUAAGGUAACGGCUUACCAAGGCAACGAUGCGUAGCCGACCUGAGAGGGUGAUCGGCCACACUGGAACUGAGACACGGUCCAGACUCCUACGGGAGGCAGCAGUAGGGAAUCUUCCGCAAUGGGCGAAAGCCUGACGGAGCAACGCCGCGUGAGUGAUGAAGGUCUUCGGAUCGUAAAACUCUGUUAUUAGGGAAGAACAAAUGUGUAAGUAACUAUGCACGUCUUGACGGUACCUAAUCAGAAAGCCACGGCUAACUACGUG